Molecule: ribosomal RNA, 413 nt
Filed under: uncultured bacterium
Lineage: Bacteria
Description: bacterial SSU rRNA
Rfam family: Bacterial small subunit ribosomal RNA
Source: RNAcentral
AGCGAACGCUGGCGGCAGGCCUAAAACAUGCAAGUCGAACGCCGUAGCAAUACGGAGUGGCAGACGGGUGAGUAACACGUGGGAACGUGCCCUUUGGUUCGGAACAACACAGGGAAACUUGUGCUAAUACCGGAUAAGCCCUUACGGGGAAAGAUUUAUCGCCAAAGGAUCGGCCCGCGUCUGAUUAGCUAGUUGGUGAGGUAACGGCUCACCAAGGCUACGAUCAGUAGCUGGUCUGAGAGGAUGAUCAGCCACACUGGGACUGAGACACGGCCCAGACUCCUACGGGAGGCAGCAGUUAGGAAUCUUGGACAAUGGGCGCAAGCCUGAUCCAGCCAUGCCGCGUGAGUGAUGAAGGCCUUAGGGUUGUAAACUCCUUUCGAUCGAGACGAAUGGUCUCCGGGUGAACAGCC